GUGGAUAGAGGAAUAAAUAAUAGACUUUUUUUUCAUAUUUUGUUCACAGCUCGGGCAGUACGGUGGUGUAGUGGUUAACACUAUCACCUCACAGCAAGAAGGUUCUGGGUUCGAGCCCAGCGGCUGACAAGGGCCUUUCUGUGUGGAGUUUGCAUGCUGUUCUUGUGUCUGCAUGGGUUUCCUCUGGGUGCUCCAGUUUCCCCCACAGUCCAAAGACAUGCAGGUGACACUGGGCAUACCUAACAACCCCCCCCCCCAUGAUGCCCUACUUCUGGCUGGAGUCUCAUCACCUCACUCUUGUGGAGGACGACCCCAUAUGGACAGUUGAAAGUUGCACUUGGAAGACGCUCUGGACACUUACAGUAAUACAUUUACGUCAGAGGACUACAGUUGACUUGCUAACUUUAGGACUGCAGUUGUCAUGAACAGUUUUGCACUCAAGUUUCCAUCAAUGAACAGUUUAUAACUUCAACAAAACAGACUUCAUGUUAAAACUAUAGUGAUUUUCCUGUUUUCGCAGUUAUACUUUGUGACUCGAUAGGACACAGUUAUAGAAGUGAGUUAUUUAUAAUCACGGUAUCACCCAGAUGAGGAUGGGUUCCCUUUUGAGUCUGGUUCCUCUUGAGGUUUCUUCCUCGUGUCAUCUGAGGGGGGUUUUCCCUGCCACCAUCGCCACAGGCUUGCUCAUUGGGGAUAAAUUAGGGAUAAAAUUAGCUGAUGUUUAAAGCCUUUAAUUUUCUGUAAACCUGCUUUGCGACAAUGUUAAAAGUGCGAUACAAAUAAACUUGAUUUGACAA
This is a long non-coding RNA of Neoarius graeffei (lesser salmon catfish), 797 nucleotides long. RefSeq lists it as uncharacterized. The record is from RefSeq and is a predicted model, not a curated record. NCBI's taxonomy places the organism in Eukaryota, Metazoa, Chordata, Actinopteri, Siluriformes, Ariidae. The transcript is spliced from 2 exons.